RNAcentral lists this non-coding RNA (148 nucleotides) under Homo sapiens (human). The record is from Rfam by way of RNAcentral. Lineage: Eukaryota; Metazoa; Chordata; Mammalia; Primates; Hominidae.
GCUGGGCGUGGUGGCGUGCACCUGUAAUCCCAGCUACUCAGGAGGCUGAGGCAGGAGAAUCGCUUGAACCCAGGAGGCGGGGGUUGCAGUGAGCCGAGAUCACACCAUUGCACUCCAGCCUGGAUGACAGAGCGAGACUCUGUCUCAA